RNAcentral lists this ribosomal RNA (870 nucleotides) under Triticum aestivum (bread wheat). RNAcentral's name for it is "partial small subunit ribosomal RNA". Lineage: Eukaryota; Viridiplantae; Streptophyta; Magnoliopsida; Poales; Poaceae. The record is from RNAcentral.
AUGAAGGAUCUCGGAGUAGCUGAUGUUAUCUUAAACAUCAAGCUGUUGAGAGAUGAGAAUGGUGGGAUCACACUGCUUCAGUCUCAUUAUGUGGAAAAGGUCUUGAGUCGUUUUGGGUAUAGCGACUGCACGCCUUCUCCAACUCCAUAUGAUGAUAGUGUGUUGCUUCGAAAGAAUCGACGGAUUGCUAGAGAUCAACUGAGCCAGUCUCAGAUUAUUGGCUCGCUUAUGUAUUUGGCGAGUGCCACGAGGCCUGACAUAUCUUUUGCUGUGAGUAAGCCGAGUCGGUUUGUGUCAAUACCGGGAGAUGAUCAUUGGCAUGCGCUUGAGAGAGUUAUGCGCUAUUUGAAAGGCACCGCGAGCUAUGGGAUUCACUACACCGGGUAUCCAAGGGUACGGGAGGGUUAUAGUGACUCAAACUGGAUAUCUGAUGCUGAUGAGAUUAAGGCCACAAGUGGUUAUGUUUUUACACUUGGUGGUGGCGCUGUUUCCUGGAAGUCUUGCAAGCAGACCAUCUUAACGAGGUCAACUAUGGAAGCAGAACUCACAGCAUUAGACACUGCCACUGUUGAAGCAGAGUGGCUUCGUGAACUCUUGAUGGACUUACCUAUGGUUGAAAAACCAAUACCCCCUAUCCUGAUGAACUGUGAUAAUCAAACUGUGAUCAUCAAGAUAAACAGUUCUAAGGACAAUAUGAAGUCCUCAAGGCAUGUGAAGAGGAGACUAAAAUCUGUCAGAAAACUGAGGAACUCCGGAGUUAUUACAUUGGAUUAUAUCCAAACAUCGAAAAACUUGGCAGAUCCCUUCACAAAGGGUCUAUCACGUAAUGUAAUAGAUAAUGCAUCGAUGGAGAUGGGUUUGAGACCCACC